CGGCGGGUGAGCAGACAAGCCUCUCAGGCUGGUGUGUGCCAGUUGGCACCGAUCUUCUGUGCGGGAAUCUCCCCACUUUACCCUCCGCACCCCUGUUGCUGUGCACUCCUCCGCAGCUCCGAAGCUCCCCUCGCCGCCUCCUGCAGUCUCCGCCCGUGAAGGGGCUUCCUAGUGUGUGGAAACUUUUCCUCCUUCACAGCUCCCUCCCACAGGUGCAGGUCUGCUCAUGGGCUUCCCUGGUGGCGCAGUGGUUGAGAGUCCGCCUGCCGAUGCAGGGGACGUGGGUUCAUGCCCCGGUCCAGGAAGAUCCCACAUGCCGCGGAGCAGCUGGGCCCGUGAGCCAUGGCCACUGGGCCUGCGCGUCCGGAGCCUGUGC
Molecule: long non-coding RNA, 376 nt
Organism: Orcinus orca (killer whale)
Lineage: Eukaryota; Metazoa; Chordata; Mammalia; Artiodactyla; Delphinidae
Exons: 2
Source: RefSeq, a predicted model, not a curated record